This is a long non-coding RNA of Oryzias melastigma (Indian medaka), 585 nucleotides long. RefSeq lists it as uncharacterized. The record is from RefSeq and is a predicted model, not a curated record. The transcript has 2 exons. NCBI's taxonomy places the organism in Eukaryota, Metazoa, Chordata, Actinopteri, Beloniformes, Adrianichthyidae.
CUGUUGACUCGCUGCUCAUCAUUUAUUGAAUGAGAAUCCAUUAGACACGGCACACAAGUUUGACUGAAUGAGUGAAGAUGGAGUUCUCACCAAAUGGUCUGUAGAUCUGGUUCUGGAUCAGUCCAGAAAAGCUGGUUAAUCCCGCUGGAUUCUUCAGGAAGGCCGUGGAGGGAGGAUCUUCAGCCAGAAGUAGAAGUGAUAGUGGUUCCCUCACAAGGAACCUGCUGAGUUGCUCAGUUGUGCUGCGUUGUGACUGCAGGCAGGAUUACUGACAUUUUUACUUUGAUUUGUGAAUGAUCCAAGAGGGGGAAACAAAUACAACCAGUAAGGACAUUUCUAAAAUAAAUAUUGUGAACAUUUUGGUUACACUUGGUUAGUUUAUUUACGUAAAAUUGCUUUAAACAACGUUCAGCGGUCAGGUUUACCGUUCUAAACCAUGUAAACCGGAAGCGACUCUGCACAUAACUGGCGAUGAAUGACAUCACAUGAAAAGGGUCUAUUGAAAAAAAAAAAAGAAAAGUUAACAUACACGGCAAUGAAAAAUGGCGCAUUAGCUCGUUUAGAGCAGCUAAUAUAAAAAGAAAA